RNAcentral lists this non-coding RNA (101 nucleotides) under Triticum dicoccoides. The record is from RNAcentral. Lineage: Eukaryota; Viridiplantae; Streptophyta; Magnoliopsida; Poales; Poaceae.
AGUGGACCGUCUGAGGCCUAUGCGAAAGCUGGGCCUCACGGUCCAUAAUGUGGCAGGCACAGCGAGACGCUGGCUUCACAGAGCAGCGACAACUGCCCACU